RNAcentral lists this ribosomal RNA (408 nucleotides) under uncultured bacterium. RNAcentral describes it as "bacterial SSU rRNA". It matches the Rfam family "Bacterial small subunit ribosomal RNA", at positions 354 to 777 of the family's 1533-position model. The record is from RNAcentral.
GUGGGGAAUAUUGGGCAAUGGGCGCAAGCCUGACCCAGCAACGCCGCGUGAAGGAAGAAGGCUUUCGGGUUGUAAACUUCUUUUGUCGGGGACGAGUAGAAGACGGUACCUGGCGAAUAAGCCACGGCUAACUACGUGCCAGCAGCCGCGGUAAUACGUAGGUGGCAAGCGUUGUCCGGAUUUACUGGGUGUAAAGGGCGUGUAGCCGGGAAGGCAAGUCAGAUGUGAAAUCCACGGGCUUAACUCGUGAACUGCAUUUGAAACUACUUUUCUUGAGUAUCGGAGAGGCAAUCGGAAUUCCUAGUGUAGCGGUGAAAUGCGUAGAUAUUAGGAGGAACACCAGUGGCGAAGGCGGAUUGCUGGACGACAACUGACGGUGAGGCGCGAAAGCGUGGGGAGCAAACAGGA